Molecule: ribosomal RNA, 480 nt
Filed under: uncultured organism
Description: bacterial SSU rRNA
Rfam family: Bacterial small subunit ribosomal RNA
Source: RNAcentral
GACGAACGCUGGCGGCGUGCUUAACACAUGCAAGUCGAACGGAGUUACUAUAAAGGAGUUUUCGGACAACGGAGUAGUAGCUUAGUGGCGGACUGGUGAGUAACGCGUGAGGAACCUGCCUUUCAGAGGGGGACAACAGUUGGAAACGACUGCUAAUACCGCAUGAUGCAUGACUGGGACAUCCCGGACAUGCCAAAGAUUUAUCGCUGAAAGAUGGCCUCGCGUCCGAUUAGCUAGUAGGUGAGGUAAUGGCCCACCUAGGCGACGAUCGGUAGCCGGACUGAGAGGUUGACCGGCCACAUUGGGACUGAGAUACGGCCCAGACUCCUACGGGAGGCAGCAGUGGGGAAUAUUGGGCAAUGGGCGAAAGCCUGACCCAGCAACGCCGCGUGAAGGAAGAAGGCUUUCGGGUUGUAAACUUCUUUGACAGGGGAAGAGUAGAAGACGGUACCCUGAAAACAAGCCACGGCUAACUACGUG